This 440-nucleotide ribosomal RNA is filed under the name uncultured bacterium. RNAcentral describes it as "partial 16S ribosomal RNA". It matches the Rfam family "Bacterial small subunit ribosomal RNA", at positions 338 to 795 of the family's 1533-position model. The record is from RNAcentral.
CCUACGGGUGGCAGCCGUAGGGAAUAUUGCUCAAUGGGGGAAACCCUGAAGCCGCAACGCCGCGUGGAGGAUGAAGGUUUUCGGAUUGUAAACUCCUUUUGUUAGAGACGAUAAUGACGGUAUCUAACGAAUAAGCACCGGCUAACUCCGUGCCAGCAGCCGCAGUAAUACGGAGGGCGAAAGCUUUACUCGGAAUCACUGGGCGUAAAGCGCGCGUAGGCGGGAUUGCAAGUCAGAGGUGAAAUCCUAGGGCUUAACCAUAGAACUGCAUUUGAAACUGUUAUUCUAGAGUAUGGGAGAGGUAGGUGGAAUUCGUGGUGUAGGGGUAAAAUCCGUAGAGAUAAAGAGGAAUACUCAUUGCGAAGGCGACCUGCUAGAACAUAACUGACGCUGAUGCGCGAAAGCGUGGGGAGCAAACAGGAUUAGAUACCCGGGUAGUC